ACGCUCGACACCUACGGGAGGCAGCAGUGGGGAAUAUUGCACAAUGGGGGAAACCCUGAUGCAGCGACGCCGCGUGAGUGAAGAAGUAAUUCGUUAUGUAAAGCUCUAUCAGCAGGGAAGAAAGUGACGGUACCUGAGUAAGAAGCCCCGGCUAACUACGUGCAAGCAGCCGCGGUAAUCUGAGGCGGGCUGGCAAGGC
This 199-nucleotide ribosomal RNA is filed under the name uncultured bacterium. RNAcentral describes it as "partial 16S ribosomal RNA". It matches the Rfam family "Bacterial small subunit ribosomal RNA", at positions 328 to 539 of the family's 1533-position model. The record is from RNAcentral.